RNAcentral lists this ribosomal RNA (692 nucleotides) under uncultured bacterium. Its description in RNAcentral is "bacterial SSU rRNA". It matches the Rfam family "Bacterial small subunit ribosomal RNA", at positions 814 to 1501 of the family's 1533-position model. The record is from RNAcentral.
AACUAGAUGUAGGGGCCAUUCCACGGUUUCUGUGUCGCAGCUAACGCAUUAAGUUCCCCGCCUGGGGAGUACGGCCGCAAGGCUAAAACUCAAAGGAAUUGACGGGGGCCCGCACAAGCGGCGGAGCAUGCGGAUUAAUUCGAUGCAACGCGAAGAACCUUACCAAGACUUGACAUAUACGAGAACGGGCUAGAAAUAGUCAACUCUUUGGACACUCGUAAACAGGUGGUGCAUGGUUGUCGUCAGCUCGUGUCGUGAGAUGUUGGGUUAAGUCCCGCAACGAGCGCAACCCUCGUUCUUUGUUGCCAGCACGUAAUGGUGGGAACUCAAAGGAGACUGCCGGGGUCAACUCGGAGGAAGGUGGGGAUGACGUCAAAUCAUCAUGCCCCUUAUGUCUUGGGCUUCACGCAUGCUACAAUGGCCGAUACAAAGGGCUGCAAUACCGCAAGGUGGAGCGAAUCCCAAAAAGUCGGUCUCAGUUCGGAUUGAGGUCUGCAACUCGACCUCAUGAAGUCGGAGUCGCUAGUAAUCGCAGAUCAGCAACGCUGCGGUGAAUACGUUCCCGGGCCUUGUACACACCGCCCGUCAAGUCAUGAAAGUCGGUAACACCCGAAGCCAGUGGCCUAACCCGUAAGGGGAGGAGCUGUCGAAGGUGGGAUUGGUAAUUAGGACUAAGUCGUAACAAGGUAACC